Molecule: non-coding RNA, 148 nt
Filed under: Gorilla gorilla gorilla (western lowland gorilla)
Lineage: Eukaryota; Metazoa; Chordata; Mammalia; Primates; Hominidae
Source: Rfam by way of RNAcentral
GCCGGGCAUGGUGGCGGAUGCCUGUAAUCCCAGCUACUCAGGAGGCUGAGGCAGGAGAAUCACUUGAGCCCAGGAGGCAGAGGUUGCAGUGACCCAAGAUGGCACCACUGCACUCCAGCCUGGGUGACAGAGUGAGACGCUGUCUCAA